This 139-nucleotide long non-coding RNA is filed under the name Junco hyemalis (dark-eyed junco). RNAcentral's name for it is "lncRNA (ENSJHYG00000018296.1)". The record is from RNAcentral. Lineage: Eukaryota; Metazoa; Chordata; Aves; Passeriformes; Passerellidae.
UUAUUUGUGAUGUUCUCUUCUGGAUGAAAUCAAAGAUGCCUGCAUAUGGUUUUCCUAGGCUUACUUGAAACCUGACUGAACUCCUAACAUCCACAGCAUCCUGAAGCAAGGAGAUCUACAGCUUAAUCACACAAUCUCC